CGGGUGAGUAAUGCUUGGGAAUCUGGCUUAUGGAGGGGGAUAACGACGGGAAACUGUCGCUAAUACCGCGUAGAGUCGAGAGACGAAAGUGCGGGACCGCAAGGCCGCAUGCCAUAGGAUGAGCCCAAGUGGGAUUAGGUAGUUGGUGGGGUAAAGGCCUACCAAGCCGACGAUCUCUAGCUGGUCUGAGAGGAUGACCAGCCACACCGGGACUGAGACACGGCCCGGACUCCUACGGGAGGCAGCAGUGGGGAAUAUUGCGCAAUGGGGGCAACCCUGACGCAGCCAUGCCGCGUGAAUGAAGAAGGCCUUCGGGUUGUAAAGUUCUUUCGGUGACGAGGAAGGUUGUUGUGUUAAUAGCACAACAAAUUGACGUUAAUCACAGAAGAAGCACCGGCUAACUCCGUGCCAGCAGCCGCGGUAAUACGGAGGGUGCGAGCGUUAAUCGGAAUAACUGGGCGUAAAGGGCACGCAGGCGGCUAUUUAAGUGAGGUGUGAAAUCCCCGGGCUUAACCUGGGAAUUGCAUUUC
This 530-nucleotide ribosomal RNA is filed under the name uncultured bacterium. RNAcentral describes it as "bacterial SSU rRNA". It matches the Rfam family "Bacterial small subunit ribosomal RNA", at positions 103 to 629 of the family's 1533-position model. The record is from RNAcentral.